AAUUUAUUUACAAUUCAAAAUGAUUACAUCCUGUACUUAUAUACAAUAAACAAAAAGAUACAAAACUAUAUAUACAUGGGCCCUAACCAAAAUUGACUGCAGAGGUGACUAGCAGAUCUACACAAAUCUCUGUCAGAGCACUAAUACUGCAGCUGCUGCUACUGCUGUGGCUGAUCUCCAGUACCUUAAUGGAUACUUCUUGGACUUGCCCAAAACUUCGUUAAUCUCUUCUUUCUUGGCUGCCAAUAGUUUUUCCUAGGUGUAAGAUCAAUUUUUAGUGAAGGAAAGUAGAGAUUUUAUGGUGAGAAUUGAAAAGAAAUGAAGGUUAAGAAAGAUGAAAAUGGUGGAAGCUUGUGGACAUGGAGGUUCGGCCAAGGAGAACCAAGGUGGAAGAAGAUAAGUUUUAAUUAUGUAAUUUGUCUUUAUAUAGUCAUAUUUAUCCUAUGGUAGAUUAUAUUAAAUUUUAAUGAUGUAAUAUUGUCAUCAUACUCACAUCAUGCUUAUGUCACAAUGAGGUAAUGCUUAUGUAAUAAUUACAUUUUCUUUCCCUUUUCUUUCGCUUCUCAUUUCCAUUGCAUAUUUCAUGAUUUUAAUUCAUUUUGUGUGUUUUAAUCUUUCUCAUUUUAAUUGACAUUUAGGU
This 640-nucleotide unclassified non-coding RNA is filed under the name Hevea brasiliensis (rubber tree). The record is from RNAcentral. Lineage: Eukaryota; Viridiplantae; Streptophyta; Magnoliopsida; Malpighiales; Euphorbiaceae.